This 126-nucleotide small nuclear RNA is filed under the name Terrapene triunguis (Three-toed box turtle). Its description in RNAcentral is "Terrapene carolina triunguis (Three-toed box turtle) U5 spliceosomal RNA (ENSTMTG00000013327.1)". It matches the Rfam family "U5 spliceosomal RNA". From Rfam's summary of the family: U5 RNA is a component of both types of known spliceosome. The precise function of this molecule is unknown, though it is known that the 5' loop is required for splice site selection and p220 binding, and that both the 3' stem-loop and the Sm site are important for Sm protein binding and cap methylation. Lineage: Eukaryota; Metazoa; Chordata; Testudines; Emydidae. The record is from Rfam by way of RNAcentral.
ACAAUGAGCAUUCUCUUCAGAUCGUAUAAAUCUUUUGCCUUUUUUUUUUAAACUAAAUAUUUCCCUGGAGAGGAACAUUUAUGAGUUUCUACCCAAUUUUGUGAGGCUGUUACCUAUUGUUGUGGA